This 398-nucleotide ribosomal RNA is filed under the name uncultured archaeon. Its description in RNAcentral is "bacterial SSU rRNA". It matches the Rfam family "Archaeal small subunit ribosomal RNA", at positions 248 to 647 of the family's 1478-position model. The record is from RNAcentral.
CCUGACUAGCCUGCGACGGAUACGGGUUGUGAGAGCAAUAACCCGGAGACGAUAUCUGAUACACGAUAUCGGGCCCUACGGGGCGCAGCAGGCGCGAAAACUUCACACUGUGCGAAAGCACGAUGAGGGAAUCCCAAGUGUUUGCUCGUAAGAGUAAACUGUUUCUUUGUUUAAAAAGCAAAGAGAGUAAGGGCUGGGUAAGACGGGUGCCAGCCGCCGCGGUAAUACCUGCGGCUCAAGUGGUGAUCAUUAUUAUUGGGCCUAAAACGUCCGUAGCCGGUUUAGUAAAUGCCUGGGUAAAUCGUGUAGCUUAACUAUACGACUUCCGGGUAGACUACUAAACUUGAGACCGGGAGAGGCUAGAGGUACUCCUGGGGUAGAGGUGAAAUUCUGUAAUC